AUACAUGCAGUCGAGCGGACAGAUGGGAGCUUGCUCCCUGAUGUUAGCGGCGGACGGGUGAGUAACACGUGGGUAACCUGCCUGUAAGACUGGGAUAACUCCGGGAAACCGGGGCUAAUACCGGAUGCUUGUUUGAACCGCAUGGUUCAAACAUAAAAGGUGGCUUCGGCUACCACUUACAGAUGGACCCGCGGCGCAUUAGCUAGUUGGUGAGGUAAUGGCUCACCAAGGCGACGAUGCGUAGCCGACCUGAGAGGGUGAUCGGCCACACUGGGACUGAGACACGGCCCAGACUCCUACGGGAGGCAGCAGUAGGGAAUCUUCCGCAAUGGACGAAAGUCUGACGGAGCAACGCCGCGUGAGUGAUGAAGGUUUUCGGAUCGUAAAGCUCUGUUGUUAGGGAAGAACAAGUACCGUUCGAAUAGGGCGGUACCUUGACGGUACCUAACCAGAAAGCCACGGCUAACUACGUGCCAGCAGCCGCGGUAAUACGUAGGUGGCAAGCGUUGUCCGGAAUUAUUGGGCGUAAAGGGCUCGCAGGCGGUUUCUUAAGUCUGAUGUGAAAGCCCCCGGCUCAACCGGGGAGGGUCAUUGGAAACUGGGGAACUUGAGUGCAGAAGAGGAGAGUGGAAUUCCACGUGUAGCGGUGAAAUGCGUAGAGAUGUGGAGGAACACCAGUGGCGAAGGCGACUCUCUGGUCUGUAACUGACGCUGAGGAGCGAAAGCGUGGGGAGCGAACAGGAUUAGAUACCCUGGUAGUCCACGCCGUAAACGAUGAGUGCUAAGUGUUAGGGGGUUUCCGCCCCUUAGUGCUGCAGCUAACGCAUUAAGCACUCCGCCUGGGGAGUACGGUCGCAAGACUGAAACUCAAAGGAAUUGACGGGGGCCCGCACAAGCGGUGGAGCAUGUGGUUUAAUUUGAAGCAACGCGAAGAACCUUACCAGGUCUUGACAUCCUCUGACAAUCCUAGAGAUAGGACGUCCCCUUCGGGGGCAGAGUGACAGGUGGUGCAUGGUUGUCGUCAGCUCGUGUCGUGAGAUGUUGGGUUAAGUCCCGCAACGAGCGCAACCCUUGAUUUUAGUUGCCAGCAUUCAGUUGGGCACUCUAAGGUGACUGCCGGUGACAAACCGGAGGAAGGUGGGGAUGACGUCAAAUCAUCAUGCCCCUUAUGACCUGGGCUACACACGUGCUACAAUGGACAGAACAAAGGGCAGCGAAACCGCGAGGUUAAGCCAAUCCCACAAAUCUGUUCUCAGUUCGGAUCGCAGUCUGCAACUCGACUGCGUGAAGCUGGAAUCGCUAGUAAUCGCGGAUCAGCAUGCCGCGGUGAAUACGUUCCCGGGCCUUGUACACACCGCCCGUCACACCACGAGAGUUUGUAACACCCGAAGUCGGUGAGGUAACCUUU
RNAcentral lists this ribosomal RNA (1408 nucleotides) under uncultured Bacillus sp. RNAcentral's name for it is "16S ribosomal RNA". It matches the Rfam family "Bacterial small subunit ribosomal RNA". The record is from RNAcentral. Lineage: Bacteria; Bacillati; Bacillota; Bacilli; Caryophanales; Bacillaceae.